CUAAGGCCCGAAACGUAAUGUGCAGUGUGAACGCAGCCAUUCACAGAAAGUAAAGUUUGUAUGGUCGCGGUAGAGCAGUGUGGCUCCGUGCGGCGUACCGACCGGUCCGUAAUGGCGCGUUGACGACUUGCACCGCGAUCCUGCUGUCAAACUGACAAGUGUUAAAGCCGGUGACAACUGAUUGGAACAACAUGUGGCGGUUGUGGAGCUGCGUCCUCGCCAGCGCGCUGCUGGCGGCCGUACGUGCACAGAAUACGGAGAGUACAGGUGAAUUUUCACCUGUCGUGCGGGCAACAUGCAAGACUGGCAUCAUGUCGAUUAAAAUAAAUUUUAAUCAACCGUUUAACGGUGUCGUGCAUGCCAGAGAAUUUAGGACACCCGCCUGCAUGGCUCUAGGUAACGGUACCGAGUCCCUCGGCUUCGACAUCAGUCUGGACGCGCCGCAGGGCUCGCCAGAUUACUGCGGAGUGUUUUGGAAUAAUCGGACGGACGAACGAUCUCUGCCGCUGGCGGUUCGCGUGCAUCGGACCCUAGAAUUGGCCGACGAUAAAUUUUAUGUCAUUACUUGCGGCAAAGCAGGAUUCAAAAAUGCUCGAAACGAAACUUCGCUCGUAUCACUACGAAUGCUUAACGAUCAAGGACGGAAAGUAUUAAAUGCAGGUUUUGGACUACCUUAUACUUUGAAAGCAGAAAUAAGCAAACCGGACGGUACACACGGCAUCAGAAUGAAAAAUUGCUUCGCUUUCAACAUGCGGAACAACACAGUCGAACUACUGGACAACAGAGGAUGUCCUGUAAAACAACAAUCGGUAAUAGCGAAAUCGGAAGGCAGCACCGCGGAACUGGCAAUAGCGUCAAUGUUCCGGUUUCCAGACUCCUCACAAGUUAAUUUCCAGUGUGACAUCGCCAUAUGUAAAGGAAGUACCUGCGCUGCGGUAGACUGCGGGGAUGGCAACAGUGGCAACCCUAAUGACGAAGAUGGGACAGUCACUACUUCAACAGGGAUAUUCGUACUAGAUCCAAACGACAGCACCAUUGCAGCGAUGUCCUGUUUGGAGGGUGGCGUGCGUCCGCUGUGGCUGCUGUACCUGGCCAUCGCGUUGGGCGUCAUGUUCCUCGUCAUGUUGCUCAUCAACUGCUUCCUCUGCACCGCCAUGACUUGCUCGUGUGCCAGGACUGACGUAAUUGAAAAAGAUCCUUCCGUAGUGGAGGACUACGACCCAUACCGCAGCUGGCACGGCAGUCAGUACGGCAGCCGGUAUCCAUCAUCCACGAUUCAUUCCACAAGAUCCGUGUCGGACAAUAGUGACCACUACGCCAUCGUACAGUCAAGGCCGGGCAGUCGACACUCUGGAAUGCAUCGAAGCAGACACUAAAAAGGGUAGAACCAUCAACAAUACCCCGUAAUUUCCUGAACACCAACAUGAGCUUCUGAUACGUGAAAAACUGAGUCAAUCUGGUUCACCCAGGACAGACGGCUAUCUACAACUACACCGAGAUGAUGACAAAUUGCCCUGAAAUGCGAAUUUUACUGAAAUUCUAACAUCAAUCAACAGAUAAAACUAUAAAUUCGUUAUGAAUAUAUCUAUAGUUUCGUAAAGUUUAUUGAAUCAUGUUGAUUGAUAGUUUUAAGUAUCUGUAUUCAAAAAUUCACAAUCGAUAAAAUGUUACCUUCACAGCAACAAUCUUUAUAUCGUGUAUAAGAAUUUACUUGUGCCAUUUUGAUAUGUACCUUAAAUGAGUUUAUACAAUGUCUUUAUUGUAAAUGAAUACCUGACAUAUGCAUCGAAUCCGUCCACGAUCGAAUUAAGUAUUAAAGCGUUAGAAACGAGUUGUACGUGUAUUAAUAAAUAAUUUACUUGUACGUUAUAAGGUUGUGUUUGUGUACUAAAGUAUUAUUAAAAUAUUUUAUAAGCAUUUAUUACUAUAACCGUGAAUGACGUAUAUAUGUGCGUACUCUGAACAUUCGAGUCACGUUAUUGUAAGACCUAAAGGUUAAUGAUUGCGGUGAUAGUGUUAAGAAUCGAUAUAAUAAUGUAUUUGUUCUUUCUUUACCUAGCGUGGGCUACAUAUAGUCUUAUUUGCACACCAAAAUCUAUUUCAACGGACGUUCAACCUUGAAUCUUACAAGUAUGAGCAAUUAUAGGUGUAAUUAACAUAAUUUAAUAUAAGGAAAUGUAGGCUAAACAUACCACAUCAUCACUGUGAAUUGUUAAUACUACUAAUGAACUGCGUAACUUAGAUAUUUUUAUAAUAAAAUUAUAUUCUUAGGUAUUAUAGGUAUCGUAAUAACAAAGGUAUGAUAACAUUGAUAGAUAUAGUUGGAGUGCUCAAAACUAAGGCUUCCAAUAUUAUAGUGUUUGUAAAUAAUAACAUCAGUUUAUAAUAAAUUAAUGAGUAAAAAAAUAUGAAUGUGUGUUAUGUGAAUGAGUGUCAGUGAGAUGUCAAUCCACUACUUGUGUAACGUUUUGGCUGCGAAAUAAAUUGAUUGAGGAAUAAA
This is an RNA transcript of Manduca sexta (tobacco hornworm), 2500 nucleotides long. RefSeq lists it as uncharacterized. The transcript is spliced from 13 exons. Lineage: Eukaryota; Metazoa; Arthropoda; Insecta; Lepidoptera; Sphingidae. The record is from RefSeq and is a predicted model, not a curated record.